Long non-coding RNA from Phalaenopsis equestris, 338 nucleotides. RefSeq lists it as uncharacterized. The transcript has 2 exons. The record is from RefSeq and is a predicted model, not a curated record. Lineage: Eukaryota; Viridiplantae; Streptophyta; Magnoliopsida; Asparagales; Orchidaceae.
GCCAUUGUUAAGCACGAGAGCCCACCCUUUCGACAUUUCCCUGCUAAGGAGUCGAAGCAAGGAGAGCUAGUCAUAAGGCAUCUCCUAUUUCGUACAAGAUGGCCUAGGACAAAAUACGAAGCUUCGGCGAGAUAGAAGUAAUACAUUUUGAGUGCGAGGUUCCCUCGAUCCCCAUUCAAAAUCUUAAGUUUUCUUGCCCUAGCCCUAGUGUUUCUUCCUUGAGUUACAUUGCCGUGUUGAUCUUCAUCGGUCAUAAAUCAUUCAACUUUUCAAACAAAGCAAAGGGAUGAUCCUAUUUUUACUCAAGAGGCCAAGGAUGGACAAUCUGAACAAAUGAU